This 495-nucleotide ribosomal RNA is filed under the name uncultured bacterium. RNAcentral's name for it is "partial 16S ribosomal RNA". It matches the Rfam family "Bacterial small subunit ribosomal RNA", at positions 28 to 507 of the family's 1533-position model. The record is from RNAcentral.
GAUGAACGCUGGCGGCGUGCCUAAUACAUGCAAGUAGAACGCUGAAGGAGGAGCUUGCUCUUCUGGAUGAGUUGCGAACGGGUGAGUAACGCGCAGGUAACCUGCCUGGUAGCGGGGGAUAACUAUUGGAAACGAUAGCUAAUACCGCAUGACAACAGUUAUUGCAUGAUAACUGUUUAAAAGGGGCAACUGCUCCACUACCAGAUGGACCUGCGUUGUAUUAGCUAGUUGGUGAGGUAACGGCUCACCAAGGCGACGAUACAUAGCCGACCUGAGAGGGUGAUCGGCCACACUGGGACUGAGACACGGCCCAGACUCCUACGGGAGGCAGCAGUAGGGAAUCUUCGGCAAUGGACGGAAGUCUGACCGAGCAACGCCGCGUGAGUGAAGAAGGUUUUCGGAUCGUAAAGCUCUGUUGUAAGAGAAGAACGAGUGUGAGAGUGGAAAGUUCACACUGUGACGGUAUCUUACCAGAAAGGGACGGCUAACUACGUG